GGGUUGUGAGGUUAAGCGACUAAGCGUACACGGUGGAUGCCCUGGCAGUCAGAGGCGAUGAAGGACGUGCUAAUCUGCGAUAAGCGUCGGUAAGGUGAUAUGAACCGUUAUAACCGGCGAUUUCCGAAUGGGGAAACCCAGUGUGAUUCGUCACACUAUCAUUAACUGAAUCCAUAGGUUAAUGAGGCGAACCGGGGGAACUGAAACAUCUAAGUACCCCGAGGAAAAGAAAUCAACCGAGAUUCCCCCAGUAGCGGCGAGCGAACGGGGAGCAGCCCAGAGCCUGAAUCAGUAUGUGUGUUAGUGGAAGCGUCUGGAAAGGCGCGCGAUACAGGGUGACAGCCCCGUACACAAAAAUGCACAUGCUGUGAGCUCGAUGAGUAGGGCGGGACACGUGGUAUCCUGUCUGAAUAUGGGGGGACCAUCCUCCAAGGCUAAAUACUCCUGACUGACCGAUAGUGAACCAGUACCGUGAGGGAAAGGCGAAAAGAACCCCGGCGAGGGGAGUGAAAAAGAACCUGAAACCGUGUACGUACAAGCAGUGGGAGCACAGAGCAAUCUGUGUGACUGCGUACCUUUUGUAUAAUGGGUCAGCGACUUAUAUUCUGUAGCAAGGUUAACCGAAUAGGGGAGCCGAAGGGAAACCGAGUCUUAACUGGGCGUUAAGUUGCAGGGUAUAGACCCGAAACCCGGUGAUCUAGCCAUGGGCAGGUUGAAGGUUGGGUAACACUAACUGGAGGACCGAACCGACUAAUGUUGAAAAAUUAGCGGAUGACUUGUGGCUGGGGGUGAAAGGCCAAUCAAACCGGGAGAUAGCUGGUUCUCCCCGAAAGCUAUUUAGGUAGCGCCUCGUGAAUUCAUCUCCGGGGGUAGAGCACUGUUUCGGCAAGGGGGUCAUCCCGACUUACCAACCCGAUGCAAACUGCGAAUACCGGAGAAUGUUAUCACGGGAGACACACGGCGGGUGCUAACGUCCGUCGUGAAGAGGGAAACAACCCAGACCGCCAGCUAAGGUCCCAAAGUCAUGGUUAAGUGGGAAACGAUGUGGGAAGGCCCAGACAGCCAGGAUGUUGGCUUAGAAGCAGCCAUCAUUUAAAGAAAGCGUAAUAGCUCACUGGUCGAGUCGGCCUGCGCGGAAGAUGUAACGGGGCUAAACCAUGCACCGAAGCUGCGGCAGCGACGCUGAUGCGUUGUUGGGUAGGGGAGCGUUCUGUAAGCCUGUGAAGGUGUGCUGUGAGGCAUGCUGGAGGUAUCAGAAGUGCGAAUGCUGACAUAAGUAACGAUAAAGCGGGUGAAAAGCCCGCUCGCCGGAAGACCAAGGGUUCCUGUCCAACGUUAAUCGGGGCAGGGUGAGUCGACCCCUAAGGCGAGGCCGAAAGGCGUAGUCGAUGGGAAACAGGUUAAUAUUCCUGUACUUGGUGUUACUGCGAAGGGGGGACGGAGAAGGCUAUGUUGGCCGGGCGACGGUUGUCCCGGUUUAAGCGUGUAGGCUGGUUUUCCAGGCAAAUCCGGAAAACUAAGGCUGAGGCGUGAUGACGAGGCACUACGGUGCUGAAGCAACAAAUGCCCUGCUUCCAGGAAAAGCCUCUAAGCAUCAGGUAACAUCAAAUCGUACCCCAAACCGACACAGGUGGUCAGGUAGAGAAUACCAAGGCGCUUGAGAGAACUCGGGUGAAGGAACUAGGCAAAAUGGUGCCGUAACUUCGGGAGAAGGCACGCUGAUAUGUAGGUGAAGUCCCUCGCGGAUGGAGCUGAAAUCAGUCGAAGAUACCAGCUGGCUGCAACUGUUUAUUAAAAACACAGCACUGUGCAAACACGAAAGUGGACGUAUACGGUGUGACGCCUGCCCGGUGCCGGAAGGUUAAUUGAUGGGGUCAGCGCAAGCGAAGCUCUUGAUCGAAGCCCCGGUAAACGGCGGCCGUAACUAUAACGGUCCUAAGGUAGCGAAAUUCCUUGUCGGGUAAGUUCCGACCUGCACGAAUGGCGUAAUGAUGGCCAGGCUGUCUCCACCCGAGACUCAGUGAAAUUGAACUCGCUGUGAAGAUGCAGUGUACCCGCGGCAAGACGGAAAGACCCCGUGAACCUUUACUAUAGCUUGACACUGAACAUUGAGCCUUGAUGUGUAGGAUAGGUGGGAGGCUUUGAAGUGUGGACGCCAGUCUGCAUGGAGCCGACCUUGAAAUACCACCCUUUAAUGUUUGAUGUUCUAACGUUGACCCGUAAUCCGGGUUGCGGACAGUGUCUGGUGGGUAGUUUGACUGGGGCGGUCUCCUCCUAAAGAGUAACGGAGGAGCACGAAGGUUGGCUAAUCCUGGUCGGACAUCAGGAGGUUAGUGCAAUGGCAUAAGCCAGCUUGACUGCGAGCGUGACGGCGCGAGCAGGUGCGAAAGCAGGUCAUAGUGAUCCGGUGGUUCUGAAUGGAAGGGCCAUCGCUCAACGGAUAAAAGGUACUCCGGGGAUAACAGGCUGAUACCGCCCAAGAGUUCAUAUCGACGGCGGUGUUUGGCACCUCGAUGUCGGCUCAUCACAUCCUGGGGCUGAAGUAGGUCCCAAGGGUAUGGCUGUUCGCCAUUUAAAGUGGUACGCGAGCUGGGUUUAGAACGUCGUGAGACAGUUCGGUCCCUAUCUGCCGUGGGCGCUGGAGAACUGAGGGGGGCUGCUCCUAGUACGAGAGGACCGGAGUGGACGCAUCACUGGUGUUCGGGUUGUCAUGCCAAUGGCACUGCCCGGUAGCUAAAUGCGGAAGAGAUAAGUGCUGAAAGCAUCUAAGCACGAAACUUGCCCCGAGAUGAGUUCUCCCUGACUCCUUGAGAGUCCUGAAGGAACGUUGAAGACGACGACGUUGAUAGGCCGGAUGUGUAAGCGCAGCGAUGCGUUGAGCUAACCGGUACUAAUGAACCGUGAGGCUUAACCUUACAACGCCGAAGGUGUUU
RNAcentral lists this ribosomal RNA (2933 nucleotides) under Escherichia coli. RNAcentral's name for it is "bacterial LSU rRNA". It matches the Rfam family "Bacterial large subunit ribosomal RNA". Lineage: Bacteria; Pseudomonadati; Pseudomonadota; Gammaproteobacteria; Enterobacterales; Enterobacteriaceae. RNAcentral also lists the same sequence under 1 other name. The record is from RNAcentral.